GGAGGCGUGGCCGAGCGGACGAAGGCAGCGGUCUUGAAAACCGCCGGGCACUUCGUGUGUCCCGUGGGUUCGAAUCCCACCGCCUCCGCCG
RNAcentral lists this transfer RNA (91 nucleotides) under Egibacter rhizosphaerae. RNAcentral describes it as "tRNA-Ser". It matches the Rfam family "tRNA". Rfam says of the family: Transfer RNA (tRNA) molecules are approximately 80 nucleotides in length. Their secondary structure includes four short double-helical elements and three loops (D, anti-codon, and T loops). Lineage: Bacteria; Bacillati; Actinomycetota; Nitriliruptoria; Egibacterales; Egibacteraceae. The record is from RNAcentral.